UCCUUUUUUGGAUAGGUAUGUGCCGAUGAAAACUUGUCUACAUGAAAUACCCUCAGCUAUAGAACAGCAUGGAGCAGAGUGGCCUGAAGAAUGGCCAAAGAGACUUGAAACAUACCCGGAGUGGUUAACCAGCAAAGAGAAAGCCAUUGAAGACACAAAUCAUUGGAAUGCUAUGGUAAACAAAUCUUACCUCACUGGAUUAGGCAUAGACUGGUUACAUAUCCGGAACGUGAUGGACAUGACAGCAAUCUAUGGCGGGUAUGGAAAAAGAAGAACUCUCUACUGCUGUUCCUAGAACAUAUUUCGUAUUUGGUGAUUCUUACUGGUUUUGAAUCUUUCAAAAUUUCAAUAGAUUUGCGGCAUCACUCGUCAAGCAAAAUGUGUGGGUAAUGAAUGUAGUGCCUGUUCAUUCACCAGACACGCUUCCUUUCAUAUACGAAAGAGGCCUCCUCGGUAUAUACCAUGAUUGGUGUGAAUCAUUUGGAACAUAUCCAAG
RNAcentral lists this long non-coding RNA (496 nucleotides) under Capsella grandiflora. RNAcentral describes it as "long non-coding RNA (CGRA_LNC000604)". The record is from RNAcentral. Lineage: Eukaryota; Viridiplantae; Streptophyta; Magnoliopsida; Brassicales; Brassicaceae.